RNAcentral lists this small RNA (367 nucleotides) under Pongo abelii (Sumatran orangutan). RNAcentral describes it as "processed transcript". The record is from RNAcentral. Lineage: Eukaryota; Metazoa; Chordata; Mammalia; Primates; Hominidae.
AGAGAGACCAUGAUGGCGGCGGCGCUGGGGCCCCCAGAAGUGAUCGCUCAGCUGGAGAACGCGGCUAAAGUUCUGAUGGCACCACCUUCCAUGGUCAAUAAUGAACAACGCCAGCAUGCAGAGCACAUAUUCUUAUCAUUUAGGAAAUCAAAAUCACCAUUUGCAGUUUGCAAGCAUAUUUUGGGUAAGUAUUCACUUAAAAAAUAUAAAGUAUUUUGGCAUAAUCAGAUCUGGGUUUGCUGUCUUAAACAUUAGCUAUUUUAAAUUCCUUUUUAAAAACCUGGUUUGUAUAGUUACAAUUAUUUAAAUUAAUAAUCAUUCUACUGGAGUAGCUUUAAAGAUAUUCUGUAAAGCCAGACAGGAAACU